GAUGAACGCUGGCGGCGUGCUUAACACAUGCAAGUCGAGCGAGUGAGUUCUUCGGAACAAUCUAGCGGCGGACAGGUGAGUAACACGUGGGCAACCUGCCUCAUAGAGGGGAAUAGCCUCCCGAAAGGGAGAUUAAUACCGCAUAAAAUUAUCGAGUGGCAUCACAUGAUCAUCAAAGGAGUAAUCCGCUAUGAGAUGGGCCCGCGGCGCAUGAGCUAGUUGGUGAGGUAACGGCUCACCAAGGCGACGAUGCGUAGCCGACCUGAGAGGGUGAUCGGCCACAUUGGGACUGAGACACGGCCCAGACUCCUACGGGAGGCAGCAGUGGGGAAUAUUGCACAAUGGGGGAAACCCUGACGCAGCAACGCCGCGUGAGUGAUGAAGGUCUUCGGAUUGUAAAGCUCUGUCUUUGGGGACGAUAAUGACGGUACCCAAGGAGGAAGCCACGGCUAACUACGUGCCAGCAGCCGCGGUAA
Molecule: ribosomal RNA, 476 nt
Filed under: uncultured bacterium
Lineage: Bacteria
Description: partial 16S ribosomal RNA
Rfam family: Bacterial small subunit ribosomal RNA
Source: RNAcentral